RNAcentral lists this ribosomal RNA (489 nucleotides) under Bifidobacterium longum subsp. infantis. Its description in RNAcentral is "bacterial SSU rRNA". It matches the Rfam family "Bacterial small subunit ribosomal RNA", at positions 161 to 665 of the family's 1533-position model. Lineage: Bacteria; Bacillati; Actinomycetota; Actinomycetes; Bifidobacteriales; Bifidobacteriaceae. The record is from RNAcentral.
UGGUAAUGCCGGAUGCUCCAGUUGAUCGCAUGGUCUUCUGGGAAAGCUUUCGCGGUAUGGGAUGGGGUCGCGUCCUAUCAGCUUGACGGCGGGGUAACGGCCCACCGUGGCUUCGACGGGUAGCCGGCCUGAGAGGGCGACCGGCCACAUUGGGACUGAGAUACGGCCCAGACUCCUACGGGAGGCAGCAGUGGGGAAUAUUGCACAAUGGGCGCAAGCCUGAUGCAGCGACGCCGCGUGAGGGAUGGAGGCCUUCGGGUUGUAAACCUCUUUUAUCGGGGAGCAAGCGAGAGUGAGUUUACCCGUUGAAUAAGCACCGGCUAACUACGUGCCAGCAGCCGCGGUAAUACGUAGGGUGCAAGCGUUAUCCGGAAUUAUUGGGCGUAAAGGGCUCGUAGGCGGUUCGUCGCGUCCGGUGUGAAAGUCCAUCGCUUAACGGUGGAUCCGCGCCGGGUACGGGCGGGCUUGAGUGCGGUAGGGGAGACUGGA